UACGUAGGGUGCGAGCGUUACUCGGAAUUACUGGGCGUAAAGCGUGCGCAGGCGGUCUGUUAAGACCGAUGUGAAAUCCCCGGGCUCAACCUGGGAACUGCAUCUGUGACUGCAUAGCUAGAGUACGGUAGAGGGGGAUGGAAUUCCGCGUGUAGCAGUGAAAUGCGUAGAUAUGCGGAGGAACACCGAUGGCGAAGGCAAUCCCCUGGGCCUGCACUGACGCUCAUGCACGAAAGCGUGGGGAGCAAACAGG
Molecule: ribosomal RNA, 253 nt
Filed under: uncultured bacterium
Lineage: Bacteria
Description: partial 16S ribosomal RNA
Rfam family: Bacterial small subunit ribosomal RNA
Source: RNAcentral